UAAUACAUGCAAGUCGAACGAGAAAGUUCCCUUCGGGGAGCUAGUAGAGUGGCGAACGGGUGAGUAAUGCAUGAACGACCUACCUACAUGACGAGGAUAACUGCUCGAAAGAACAGCUAAUACUCGAUGUGAUCUCUGGUCUACGGACCUUUGAUUAAAGAUGGCCUCUGUUUCAAGCUGUCGCAUGUUGAGGGGUUCAUGUGCUAUUAGAUUGUUGGUGGGGUAACGGCCUACCAAGACUAUGAUGGCUAGCCGGCCUGAGAGGGUGUCCGGCCACACUGGGACUGAGACACUGCCCAGACUCCUACGGGAGGCUGCAGUCGAGAAUCAUACACUAAUGCGCGAAAGCGUGAUGUUGCGACGCCGCGUGGGGGAUGAAGGCCUUAGGGUCGUAAACUCCUGUCAUUUGGAGCUAAAACCGUAGAGUUAAUAACUCUUGCGCUUGAAGUGCCAUAAGAGGAAGCACCGGCUAAAUUCGUGCCAGCAGCCGCGGUAAUACGAAUGGUGCAAGCGUUGUUCGGAAUUACUGGGCAUAAAGGGCGCGUAGGUGGAGACACCAGUCAAUUGUGAAAUCCCCCGGCUCAACCGAGGAACUGCAGCUGAUACUGUGUAUCUAGAGUACUGGAGGGGAGAGCGGAAUUCCUGGUGGAGCGGUGAAAUGCGUAGAUAUCAGGAGGAACGCCGGAGGCGAAAGCGGCUCUCUGGCCAGUUACUGACGCUGAGGCGCGAAAGCUAGGGUAGCAAACCGGAUUAGAUACCCGGGUAGUCCUAGCCGUAAACGAUGGCCACUAAGUAGUGGGACUCCAAAGGUCUCGCUGCCGGAGCAAAUGUAUUAAGUGGCCCGCCUGGGGAGUAUGGUCGCAAGGCUGAAACUCAAAGGAAUUGACGGGGGCUCACACAAGCGGUGGAGCAUGUUGUUUAAUUCGAUGCAACGCGAAGAACCUUACCUGGGCUUGACAUGCAUGUGGUAUCAAUCCGAAAGGUGCGGGACCAUCUCUGAUGGAGCUUACACAGGUAUUGCAUGGCUGUCGUCAGCUCGUGUCGUGAGAUGUUGGGUUAAGUCCCGUAACGAGCGCAACCCUUGUCCUUAGUUGCCAGCGUUAAAGCCGGGGACUUUAAGGAGACUGCCGGUGUUAAGCCGGAGGAAGGCGGGGAUGACGUCAAGUCAUCAUGGUCCUUACGCCCAGGGCCACAAACGUGCUACAAUGGCCGGUACAAUGGGAAGCGAAACCGCGAGGUGGAGCAAAUCUCAAAAACCCGGCCCCAGUUCGGAUUGCAGGCUGAAACUCGCCUGCAUGAAGUUGGAAUCGCUAGUAAUCGCGGAUCAGCCAUGCCGCGGUGAAUAUGUUCCUGAGCCUUGUACACACCGCCCGUCAAGCCACCCAAAUAGGUCGCACCCGAAGUCGUAGACUUAACCGCAAGGGAAGAUACGCCGAAGGUGAGGUUUGUGAGGGGGACUAAGUCGUAACAAGGUAGCC
Molecule: ribosomal RNA, 1478 nt
Filed under: uncultured prokaryote
Description: partial 16S ribosomal RNA
Rfam family: Bacterial small subunit ribosomal RNA
Source: RNAcentral